AACGAACGCUGGCGGCAUGCCUAACACAUGCAAGUCGAACGAGACCUUCGGGUCUAGUGGCGCACGGGUGCGUAACGCGUGGGAACCUGCCCUUAGGUUCGGAAUAACUCAGAGAAAUUUGAGCUAAUACCGGAUAAUGUCUUCGGACCAAAGAUUUAUCGCCUUUGGAUGGGCCCGCGUAGGAUUAGCUUGUUGGUGGGGUAAUGGCCUACCAAGGCGACGAUCCUUAGCUGGUCUGAGAGGAUGAUCAGCCACACUGGUACUGAGACACGGCCCAGACUCCUACGAGAAGCAGCAGUGGGGAAUAUUGGACAAUGGGCGAAAGCCUGAUCCAGCAAUGCCGCGUGAGUGAUGAAGGCCUUAGGGUUGUAAAGCUCUUUUACCAGGGAUGAUAAUGACAGUACCUGGAGAAUAAGCUCCGGCUAACUCCGUG
Molecule: ribosomal RNA, 433 nt
Filed under: uncultured bacterium
Lineage: Bacteria
Description: partial 16S ribosomal RNA
Rfam family: Bacterial small subunit ribosomal RNA
Source: RNAcentral